UGAGGAAUAUUGGGUCAAUGGGGCGAGAGCCUGAACCAGCCAAGUCGCGUGAGGGAAGACGGUCCUAAGGGUUGUAAACCUCUUUUGUCGGGGAACAACGAGUUGCACGUGUGCGACAGUGAGGGUACCCGAAGAAAAGCAUCGGCUAACUCCGUGCCAGCAGCCGCGGUAAUACGGAGGAUGCGAGCGUUAUCCGGAUUUAUUGGGUUUAAAGGGAGCGUAGGCCGGAGAUUAAGCGUGUUGUGAAAUGCCGCGGCUCAACCGUGGCACUGCAGCGCGAACUGGUCUUCUUGAGUACGCACAACGUGGGCGGAAUUCGUGGUGUAGCGGUGAAAUGCUUAGAUAUCACGAAGAACUCCGAUUGCGAAGGCAGCUCACGGGAGCGCAACUGACGCUGAAGCUCGAAAGUGCGGGUAUCGAACAGGAUUAGAUACCCUGGUAGU
Molecule: ribosomal RNA, 443 nt
Filed under: uncultured Prevotella sp.
Lineage: Bacteria; Pseudomonadati; Bacteroidota; Bacteroidia; Bacteroidales; Prevotellaceae
Description: bacterial SSU rRNA
Rfam family: Bacterial small subunit ribosomal RNA
Source: RNAcentral